GGCGGCAGGCCUAAACAUGCAAGUCGAGCGCGUGUAGCAAUACACGAGCGGCAGACGGGAGAGUAACACGUGGGAACGUACCCUUCGGUUCGGAAUAACCCAGGGAAACUUGGACUAAUACCGAAUACGUCCGAAAGGAGAAAGAUUUAUCGCCGAAGGAUCGGCCCGCGGCUGAUUAGCUAGUUGGUGAGGUAACGGCUCACCAAGGCGACGAUCGGUAGCUGGUCUGAGAGGAUGAUCAGCCUCACUGGGACUGAGACACGGCCCAGACUCCUACGGGAGGCAGCAGUGGGGAAUAUUGGACAAUGGGCGCAAGCCUGAUCCAGCCAUGCCGCGUGGGUGAUGAAGGCCCUAGGGUUGUAAAGCCCUUUCGGCGGGGAAGAUAAUGACGGUACCCGCAGAAGAAGCCCCGGCUAACUUCGUGCCAGCAGCCGCGGUAAUACGAAGGGGGCUAGCGUUGCUCGGAAUCACUGGGCGUAAAGCGCACGUAGGCGGAUCGUUAAGUCGGAGGUGAAAUCCUGGAGCUCAACUCCAG
This 535-nucleotide ribosomal RNA is filed under the name uncultured bacterium. Its description in RNAcentral is "bacterial SSU rRNA". It matches the Rfam family "Bacterial small subunit ribosomal RNA", at positions 38 to 618 of the family's 1533-position model. The record is from RNAcentral.